GAAAAUCUAGUUUAUCAAAACAUUAAUUUGUCAAAUUAAAAUAACUUUAAGGUGUUUUUCU
This 61-nucleotide transfer RNA is filed under the name Balala fujiana. RNAcentral describes it as "tRNA-Asp". The record is from RNAcentral. Lineage: Eukaryota; Metazoa; Arthropoda; Insecta; Hemiptera; Cicadellidae.